RNAcentral lists this microRNA precursor (88 nucleotides) under Canis lupus familiaris (dog). RNAcentral's name for it is "mir-8799 microRNA precursor family". It matches the Rfam family "mir-8799 microRNA precursor family". The record is from Rfam by way of RNAcentral. Lineage: Eukaryota; Metazoa; Chordata; Mammalia; Carnivora; Canidae. RNAcentral also lists the same sequence under 1 other name.
AGGGGCUGGAUCUUGGGUUGUGUCCCCCAGAGCCCUGUGCUCCCAGGCCUGUGAUGCUGGAAUCGUGCUCCCGGUCGCGCAGCUCUCU